UACGAAGGGGGCUAGCGUUGCUCGGAAUCACUGGGCGUAAAGCGCACGUAGGCGGAUUGUUAAGUCAGGGGUGAAAUCCUGGAGCUCAACUCCAGAACCGCCUUUGAUACUGGCGAUCUCGAGUCCGGGAGAGGUGAGUGGAACUGCGAGUGUAGAGGUGAAAUUCGUAGAUAUUCGCAAGAACACCAGUGGCGAAGGCGGCUCACUGGCCCGGUACUGACGCUGAGGUGCGAAAGCGUGGGGAGCAAACAGG
RNAcentral lists this ribosomal RNA (253 nucleotides) under uncultured bacterium. Its description in RNAcentral is "partial 16S ribosomal RNA". It matches the Rfam family "Bacterial small subunit ribosomal RNA", at positions 524 to 776 of the family's 1533-position model. The record is from RNAcentral.